CAGCUUCUAGGCAAAUGUCAAAACCUUCUGGGGCUAUAAACUGAAUCAUACAGAUCUAUAGGGAAAAACAGGGCAUGAACACCAAAAGGAUGCAUCCUGUUGACCGUGGGUGGUGGAACGGACUUCUUCUGCCCCACGAACAUACUUGCUAACAACAACAACAAGUGACAAUUCAAAAAACACUCCAAGAUUAUCAGUUGAAAUGGCAUCAGUUGAUACUUUAUACCAUUUUAAGUAUCCCUUUUCUAACAAACAGUUCAUACAAAUAUAAUACAGUAUUAGUGUGAAGGGUUUUUUAUUCAAUUAGUGUUAAGUUUUAAAGUUCAUAUUCCUA
RNAcentral lists this long non-coding RNA (334 nucleotides) under Bos taurus (domestic cattle). Its description in RNAcentral is "long non-coding RNA NONBTAT001097". The record is from RNAcentral. Lineage: Eukaryota; Metazoa; Chordata; Mammalia; Artiodactyla; Bovidae.